CUGGGCUUCCCCUGCCCUAACCUAAGCCCAGCUGGGCUUCAUUCAGCACGCUGUGUACCACUCUUGAUGGGUAGGCCCACUCUGCCCGCACCUUGAAACCUGACCAGGUCUUCUCCCACCCCAUGAAUGUAAACAUUUUAACAACUAGCCUGACUGUGAAAAGCCUGGAGAAUCCUUCCUACAGGGGACAGUGGACCUCCAGAGGGGCAGACGUGUCCUGAGCUCAGCCAAUCUGAUGAUCUCCUGGGACACCGACCCCUGAGGAAGUGACUCAAGAUGGACAGGAAUUGGGCAAAGUCAUUCAGGGAGUUGCCGAACAAGCCAGUGAGCAUGAGGCCAUGGCUGCAGGACGGCUCCCCACACUUCCUCAUCUUGGGAGGACCUCUCCCUUCUCCAUAGCCUUCCCUCCAACCUCCUUCUCCUACUUCAGCCAGAGGAGCUUUCUGUAUCUGCAUCAAGAGCCUCACAGACCCCCGGCUCCUCAUUUUCCAUUUCUGUGCCAUUUCUGCACCUUAGCACGAGCGUUUCUGAGGUGCGAGGCCAUGUCAGGGACACGCGGGCCCUGCAACACCAUCAACACGUGGUUCUCGGCACCUGGUGUUGCCUUCGGAGGCACAGAGGACGUUCUAGAAACACGAGGGUGCAAAGAGAAGCUGGACAGGCGCCCACACCUGGCUGGCACGCACACCUGUGUGCACCGAGGGGGAACUGACGAGCACCUGAAUUGCCGAGCCAGGCUGCAGCUAAUAAAACAGAGAAAGUAAGUGCAUCGGGCACUCCAGACCAAAGCCAUUUGCAGAAUGGAGUCACAGGCUGACAUCCAAGACUUUAGCCAGCUGGCUUCAGGCAGCAGAUGCAAAGGAGAGGUCAUGAGCAGGCCAGGCCCUGGCUAGGCAGGGGAUGCACUGGCUUCCCAGGCAUCCUGGGCACCCCCUCCAGGUGGCAUAGGGGCUCCCCAGCACUGAAGGGUGUUCAGCAGCCUGCAAACCAACUGACUCACAGAGCCCAGAUAGUGACGCCAAGACCAGCCGCUCCGGGGCCAACAUCAGAGCUGGAGAGCUGAGCCAGUGGCACGCCAGUCACUGAGGAAGGCCUCUUGUUGAUAAAGACAGGGCAUGAAUUCUUGGGGGGCUGUUACGUACCUUCCCAAAGGGAGAAAGAAACCCCUUGUUCAGUCACCGCACAGCUGUCUCUGGAGACAGGAGCACAAAGCUGCCUUCUGCCCAGGGCACUGCUUCCUUGGCAAGUGACCAGCAGCUGGGACCGCACGUGCCAAAGGCAGCAGCUGCCAUGUUUGACAAACUGGAACGGAGCUAUGUCCAAAUUAAAUCCCCCCAACCAGCCUCUGCCAUACUCCCUUUGGGGACAGGGGUGGUCGGUCGUUACGCUUGCAAAAUUCCAACAGCACCUAGAGUCCCAGGAAAUGGGGCUGCUGGCCAAUAGAGGUGGGACCCAGGGUGACAGGCCACAUGCUCCUUAGAGAGCCAACAGUGUUUCCUGAAUUCCAUGGGAGUUUGCCGAGGGGACAUGGAAGCUAGGAUUCCGGAACACCCGCUGGGAGCCUAGUCCUGGGCUAGGGGCUGCAUUUAUCAUUUCAUCCUCACAACUACUGUUGCAGUUUCGCCUAACAGAGAAGGAGACAAAACUAACCCGGUGGCCACGUGGCCGAAGGCACAGAGCCGUUGAGUGGCAGCGUGGCAUUUGAAUUCAGGCCGGUGAUGCUGAAGUCCCCAGGUCUUUUUUUUUUUGAUGCCCACAACAAUGUAACUACUAAUAGCCUGUUAUUGAUGCAGGCCUUACCAAUAACAUAAAUAGUUGAUGAACACAUAUUUUGCAUAUGUGUUAUAUACUGUAUUCUUAUCAUAAACGAGCCAAAGAGAAGGAGAUGUUAUUAAGAAAACGGUAAGAAAGAGAAAAUAUAUUUAGCAUUCAUUUAGCAGAAGGGGAUCACCAUAAAGGUCUUCAUCCCUGUUAUCUUCACCUUGAAGAGGCUGAGAAGGAGGAGAAGGAGGGGGUGGUCUUGCUGUCUUAGGGAUGGUGGAGGUAGAAGAGGCAAAGAAGGUGGAAGGGAAGGCAGCCACGCUCGGUGUAAGCUUUAUUGGAAAAAAUCUGCAUUUAUGUGGACUCUCACCAGGCAAACCCGUAUGGUGCUCGAGGGCCAACUGUAUUUCCACUACCGUCAUCCGCCUUGCCCAGGGUGACCUGAUUCACUGACGGGAGGGUUUGCCUUCCCAUGCGCAUCAGUUCAGCCUUCCCCUGAUGUCAUUCUUUUCCUAGUGGCUAACAGGCUGGAUGUGCAGUUGGGGACAGUCAGUAUCUGGGGUCUGGUGAGGACCCUCUUCCUGGUUUGCAAAGCAGGAAGAUGCCAGGCAUCUCUUUCUGUCCUGCUCAGUCAAGUGUGAAUCACAAAGCCUGAGUUCAGAUCCUCGACCUUGGGCAGGUGAACUUCACUCUUAUGAGUCUCAAUUUCUGUACCCAC
Molecule: long non-coding RNA, 2479 nt
Filed under: Homo sapiens (human)
Lineage: Eukaryota; Metazoa; Chordata; Mammalia; Primates; Hominidae
Description: HSALNT0245679
Source: RNAcentral